RNAcentral lists this unclassified non-coding RNA (1866 nucleotides) under Hevea brasiliensis (rubber tree). Lineage: Eukaryota; Viridiplantae; Streptophyta; Magnoliopsida; Malpighiales; Euphorbiaceae. The record is from RNAcentral.
UUUGCAUUACAAACCAACAAUCAUGCCAGGGUGGAGUGUGAACGAAAAGCAAUGAGUAUGACCAGAAAAACAUUCUCAUUAAACUUUUUAUGGGUGCGAACAAUCAAGAUUGUUCAAAUGUUAACAAAGCCAAUGAGCUACUUCAACACAAGCAAGUUUCUUACAAAUUGCUCACAAUACAAAACACAGCCCUGGUGUUUCUGCAUUUACAUGUAUUUUUAACAUUAUUAGGAGCUAUCUUCUUUGCAUCUUGAAUCUAGAAACUGGCUUUGAGGGCUGGGCAUUGGGUGACUGUGAUGAAGUCGCGGUUUGCUCUUGUGAAGUUGGCAUGUUGUCAAUAUGCUCCACUAUUGAACUUGUGAAAGACUGCACAUGGAUGGAAAUUGGUAAGGAUGAGCACCCAGUUCAGAAAAUAAAAUUAACAGUAAUACCUUGGAACUGUCGAAUCCUGGUCUUGAAGCCCGUACAGGUGUCUUGAGGUGGGCACAGAAAACAUUAAGCAGUUAGGAUUUCAAGACAAACCACUUAAAAUCACAUCAUGUAUCGAUCAGUAACCUGCAAUCAUGACCCCAACCAGAAGUAAGGAAUAAUACCUGUGAUGAGGUCACAGUUUGGUUUUGUGAGUUUUUCUCUAUAUUGCUCAAGUGCUCCACAAUAGAGCCUGUAAAAGCCUUUGAACUAUCAAAUCUGGAUUUUGGAGUCCACAUGGGCACCUAUGAGUGAAUAACAAAACAAGAAAAUGGGGUAAAAGGAAAGGAAAACCCAUCAAGCUCAAGCAGGAUCUAGCUGCAAUUGCAAACUGUCAAUUGGGAGCAUUGCAAAAAAAGAAGCAUCUUAAUCAGGAUAGUUUAAAAUUAUUCCUUUAUUUAUUGAUUUAUUUAUUUAUCUUCCUCUCUUAUGAAAAUGUGCUAUUUAUAUGAUACAGAUUAAAUUCAUCCACAACAUAAUUAAAUCAUAAGUGGCUCAUCUCUUAAAUAAUCUUUGCAAACAGCCUAUCACAAGAAUUUUCUUGAUACCUCAAUUCUAGAUGAAGAUGCUGCUUCAAGUUUCUCCUUCACUCCAGGAAGCAUUAAAUCCUUCUCAGCAGGAACAGACUUCUUUAUCUGAGUCAAACUUCUGCUACUUGACAUAUCAUCUUUGGGUACAGGCUGUACUGUCAAACCUGUGCAAUUUGGCUGAUCAGUAGUAUCUAAUUGAUGGUGAAACUCAUUUGAUAAUGCUUCAACAGAUAAAUUUUCCACUUUUGUUUGUUUUUGUGCUUUCCUUGUCUCCAAAUGAGUCUGAGAUGCAUAAUUAUUAAAAGUAGCUUCAGUUUGAUUAUAUUCAUGAAUGUCACUACCCCUUUUGGUUGCAUCAGUUUGCUCAUCUUCAUCACUCUCAUUAUCACUUCCAACUAUAUCGAUGCACUCAUCUUCCCCACUCUCAUUAUCACUUUCAGCUGUAUUAGUAUGCUCAUCUUCAUCACUCUCGUUAUCACCUUCAGCUGCAAGUUCUUCUUUCUCAAGUUCAUCUAACCUGGACAUUAUAUGAGCAUAUUCAUCGUCUUCAACUCUAACUUUCUUGUCAACUUUCUCUGAUUUAGAUUGUUCUUCAGUAUAACUUUUCUCCACAUAAUCUUCUCUUAUCUCCACAAGGCCUUCCGCAGCCUCAGCAGCUGUGGAACCAAAAAACGAAGCCUCAGCUCUAAGAUCCUUUAUGUUAGCCUUAAGAGAUUCAACUUGGGAAUCCAAAGCCUUCCCUCUCCUUUUCAAAAUCUCAAUAGUUUGCUUUGCUGUUCUUUCGGCGUAGUAACCUUCUCCCAGAAGAACCACGAACUCAUUUGUGUGUAUCAAUCGGCCAGGAAAGAACGCGGCUUUUCCGAACGGA